GUACACUCCUGCGGGAGGCAGCAGUGGGGAAUAUUGGACAAUGGGCGCAAGCCUGAUCCAGCCAUGCCGCGUGAGUGAUGAAGGCCCUAGGGUUGUAAAGCUCUUUUGUGCGGGAAGAUAAUGACGGUACCGCAAGAAUAAGCCCCGGCUAACUUCGUGCCAGCAGCCGCGGUAAUACGAAGGGGGCUAGCGUUGCUCGGAAUCACUGGGCGUAAAGGGUGCGUAGGCGGGUCUUUAAGUCAGGGGUGAAAUCCUGGGGCUCAACCCCAGAACUGCCUUUGAUACUGAAGAGCUUGAGUUCGGGAGAGGGGAGUGGAACUGCGAGUGUAGAGGUGAAAUUCGUAGAUAUUCGCAAGAACACCAGUGGCGAAGGCGGCUCACUGGCCCGAUACUAACGCUGAGGCACGAAAGCGUGGGGAGCAAACAGGAUUAGAAACCCUGGUAGUCCCAUGA
Molecule: ribosomal RNA, 453 nt
Filed under: uncultured organism
Description: partial 16S ribosomal RNA
Rfam family: Bacterial small subunit ribosomal RNA
Source: RNAcentral